CUACGUAGGGUGCGAGCGUUAUCCGGAAUUACUGGGCGUAAAGAGCUCGUAGGUGGUUUGUCGCGUCGUCUGUGAAAUUCCGGGGCUUAACUCCGGGCGUGCAGGCGAUACGGGCAUAACUUGAGUACUGUAGGGGAGACUGGAAUUCCUGGUGUAGCGGUGAAAUGCGCAGAUAUCAGGAGGAACACCGGUGGCGAAGGCGGGUCUCUGGGCAGUAACUGACGCUGAGGAGCGAAAGCAUGGGUAGCGAACAGGAUUAGAUACCCUGGUAGUCCAUGCCGUAAACGGUGGGCGCUAGGUGUAGGGGUCUUCCACGACUUCUGUGCCGUAGCUAACGCAUUAAGCGCCCCGCCUGGGGAGUACGGCCGCAAGGCUAAAACUUAAAGGAAUUGACGGGG
This 398-nucleotide ribosomal RNA is filed under the name uncultured bacterium. Its description in RNAcentral is "partial 16S ribosomal RNA". It matches the Rfam family "Bacterial small subunit ribosomal RNA", at positions 523 to 918 of the family's 1533-position model. The record is from RNAcentral.